UGAGCAAGUGACCUUGAGACAUAAGGUUGU
This 30-nucleotide non-coding RNA is filed under the name Mus musculus (house mouse). The record is from RNAcentral. Lineage: Eukaryota; Metazoa; Chordata; Mammalia; Rodentia; Muridae.